Long non-coding RNA from Hibiscus syriacus, 1183 nucleotides. RefSeq lists it as uncharacterized. NCBI's taxonomy places the organism in Eukaryota, Viridiplantae, Streptophyta, Magnoliopsida, Malvales, Malvaceae. The record is from RefSeq and is a predicted model, not a curated record. The transcript is spliced from 3 exons.
CCCUCCCUAUAUUUCCUUCCAAUUCCCUUCGUUUCCAUCGGCUCCAAUCAACACUCUUUCAAUUCCCUCAUGCACCCAUUUCGUCGUUUUAUCUAAAGACUAUGCUUCUUCGAAAACAUGCUUGGCUCAACUCUCUGACAUCAGGAGGCGCAGGAGCACUCAAAAACAUGUUGUUAUGCCCGUCUUUUAUCACGUUAAACCUUCUGAUGUGCAGAAGAAUCUCGAAGAGAGUUUCAAAGGGCAACCUCAAGUGCAACAAUGGAAGGAGGACUUAGCUGAAGUCUGUGGAUUGCAAGGGUGGACUAUAGAAGGAAGCUAUUCUGAUAGAUCUGAUCCCGAAUACAUUAAAGAUGUCUUUCAAGAUGUCAUAAAAAAGUUGAAUAAGCGUUUCAGAUGGUUUGAUUGGAAUAGAUGACCAGAAAGGAAAAUUUUUGAAGCUGAUUAAACAAGAAGACAAACGUGCAAUAGGACUUUGGGGAGUUGGUGGUAUAGGCAAAACUACCCUUGCUGAUGCUGUAUACAAUGAACUGACCUGAGUUUGAAACUCAUUGCUUUGUUCAAAACGUUAGAGAGGAAUUUGAAGAAGAAGAAGAAAAAGAAUGCAAUCUGUAAGAAAUGAACUUCUCUCCAAACUACUGGCCGUUACAGUUGAUAUAUAGACACCCCCUCCACAGGAAAAAUUGCUUGCACAAGGGUGCAAUGAGUGGAAUAAGGAAUAAGUCUCUACUUUCUAGUGAUUCUUCUAGACAAAUUUUGUGAAAUGACGGUGAAAUUCACAAUUUUUAUUAAUGCUUGUGUAUGCUGAUGCAACUUCUGGAUAAUGCAUAGGUGGAGGUUAUUUUGGAAGGCAUCAGUUGACAGAUUACAUUGUCAUGCUAAUAAAAGCAUUUGGAGUUGAUCAGUUUGCGGAUGUUGCUGCCUUUCAAGUUGUUUGAGAAUUAAUGAAAACUCGAAUCGAAUUUCAUUUUCUUUUCAAGUUGUAGAUGUAUAGGACAUGGGCUAAGUGAAUUGAGGAAAAUGUUUAACCCAACUUCACUUGGGUUGAGCAUGGAAUUAAUCUGGUUUCUAGGGUAUUUGUCUUCAGGUUGUUUGCGUGGGUGAAAAGGUUUUGUUGGGUUUAGCUGUGAUUUUAGUUGAAUUUUGUGAUUUUUUGCAUGUGUUGCAAGGUUUAAGUUGUUUUCAG